CAUUUAUUUGCAUCACUAUAUAAAUAAACUUAGACACAAAGAAAAAUUGAGUGAAAUAAAUUUGUAAUAUAGUUUUCUAAACCCCAAAAUGGCUAUGAAUGGAGAACAAAAGUCAGUGCCACAUGAUUUAGAUGAGAAGAAAUCACACCCUAAUUCAGAUCAUGUGAAGACUAAGUGUUGUACUCGUACAAAAAAGAAAGGGGAUAGAGGCUUCAUUGAAGGAUGUCUCUUUGCUCUAUGCUGCUGUUGGUUAUGUGAUGCUUGCUUUGAUGUCACUGUCGUCGCCGGAUAAAGGUUGCGAAAAAUCGGGUGGUUUGAUGCUUCUUUCAGAGUGAAAAAACCAUGUAGUUACUACCUAAUUUUCUGUAUUUUGGUUUGAAUAAUCGUAUUGUAUUGUAUCAUGUUGUAGCAUUAUUAGCCUGGUUUAUUUUCUUUAAGAAGUUCAUACAUGUUACUAUUUUUGAUUUAAGGAAUUUGGAAUUGAAAUAUGUACUAAUGUCAAAAAAAACCUUUACAAAGUUU
Cannabis sativa is the source of this 522-nucleotide long non-coding RNA. RefSeq lists it as uncharacterized. The transcript is spliced from 3 exons. Lineage: Eukaryota; Viridiplantae; Streptophyta; Magnoliopsida; Rosales; Cannabaceae. The record is from RefSeq and is a predicted model, not a curated record.